AUGAACGCUGGCGGCAUGCCUAACACCUGCAAGUCGAUCGGUAAGGCUCUUCGGAGUACACGAGAGGCGGACGGCUGAGUAACGCGUAGGAACACACCCUGCAGUGAGGGAUAAGACACCGAAAGGUGUUCUAAUACCGCAUACGGUCUUCGGAUUAAAGCAUUUAUGCGCUGAAGGAGUGGCCUGCGUCAUAUUAGAUAGUUGGUGAGGUAAUGGCUCACCAAGUCGAUGAUGUGUAGCUGGUCUGAGAGGAUGAUCAGCCAGACUGGAACUGAGACACGGUCCAGACUCCUACGGGAGGCAGCAGUGAGGAAUAUUUCACAAUGAGCGAAAGCUUGAUGGAGCAAUGCCGCGUGCAGGAUGAAGGCCCUCGGGUUGUAAACUGCUUUUAUAAGAGAAGAUUAUGACGGUAACUUAUGAAUAAGGGACGGCUAACUACGUG
This 442-nucleotide ribosomal RNA is filed under the name uncultured bacterium. Its description in RNAcentral is "partial 16S ribosomal RNA". It matches the Rfam family "Bacterial small subunit ribosomal RNA", at positions 29 to 507 of the family's 1533-position model. The record is from RNAcentral.